RNAcentral lists this ribosomal RNA (446 nucleotides) under uncultured bacterium. Its description in RNAcentral is "partial 16S ribosomal RNA". It matches the Rfam family "Bacterial small subunit ribosomal RNA", at positions 338 to 795 of the family's 1533-position model. The record is from RNAcentral.
CCUACGGGUGGCAGCAGUGGGGAAUAUUGGGCAAUGGGCGCAAGCCUGACCCAGCAACGCCGCGUGAAGGAAGACGGCUUUCGGGUUGUAAACUUCUUUUAAGAGGGAAGAAAGAGAAAUUUGACGGUACCUGAAGAAUAAGCUCCGGCUAACUACGUGCCAGCAGCCGCGGUCAUACGUAGGGAGCGAGCGUUAUCCGGAAUUAUUGGGCGAAAAGGGUGCGUAGAUGGCAUAGUAAGUCUUUUGGAAAAAUGCUGGGCUCAACCCAGUAGGGCAAAAGAUACUGCAAAGCUAGAGUAUGACAGAGGCAAGUGGAACUACAGGUGUAGCGGUAAAAUGCGUAAAGAUAUGUAAGAACACCAGUGGCGAAGGCGGCUUGCUGAGUCGAUACUGACAUUGAGGCACGAAAGCGUGGGGAUCGAACAGGAUUAGAUACCCGUGUAGUC